CAAGAGGAAUCUCUGAGAUGACUGAAAGAAAAUAAACAUUUCCCGUUGAUUUGGGAGGGACUGGGUAGAUUUUGCAGCAAUACAAACUGCAAAGCACUGGAAGGCUUCAGUAUGGGAAAUCAAGCCUGAGCAGAAAGGACCUUCCCUCGAGGGACAUGACCUGUCCGUGGAAAGAACACAGAAGAGGUCAUCCUUGGAAGACUUAUGUACUAGUUUCAUGACUCUGUGAGUUUUAGUCCAGCAGCUUGCGGAGAUGCAAUCAGAAAGCUGAAUACGUGAAAUUCCAAUAUUUAGUCAGAAAUGAACAUCCAGUUUUCCUCCCCAAAACAUGGAAAAACUAAGGUAAGUAAACAUUUUCUACAAACUCUGUGAGUUGUCUCCCUUGUUCUUCUGUCACUGUUCCGGUUCGGAGGCCAUAGCUGCU
This 424-nucleotide long non-coding RNA is filed under the name Struthio camelus australis. Its description in RNAcentral is "lncRNA (ENSSCUG00000014188.1)". Lineage: Eukaryota; Metazoa; Chordata; Aves; Struthioniformes; Struthionidae. The record is from RNAcentral.